CGGAAGACCAAGGUUUCCGGUCCAACGUUAUUCGGGGCAGGGUGAGUCGACCCCUAAGGCGAGGCCGAAAGGCGUAGUCGUUGGGAAACAGGUUAAUAUUCCUGUACUUGGUGUUACUUCGAAGGGGGGACGGAGAAGGCUAUGUUAGCCGGGCGACUGUUGUCCCGUUUUAAGCAUGUAGGCUGGUUAUCCAGUCAAAUCCGGAUAAUCAAGGCUGAGGUGUGAUGACGAGGCACUACGGU
This 242-nucleotide ribosomal RNA is filed under the name Klebsiella pneumoniae. Its description in RNAcentral is "partial 23S ribosomal RNA". It matches the Rfam family "Bacterial large subunit ribosomal RNA", at positions 1338 to 1583 of the family's 2925-position model. Lineage: Bacteria; Pseudomonadati; Pseudomonadota; Gammaproteobacteria; Enterobacterales; Enterobacteriaceae. The record is from RNAcentral.